GCCCAAAAGCUAGAAGCAA
RNAcentral lists this small nuclear RNA (19 nucleotides) under Arabidopsis thaliana (thale cress). Its description in RNAcentral is "snRNA_02220". The record is from RNAcentral. Lineage: Eukaryota; Viridiplantae; Streptophyta; Magnoliopsida; Brassicales; Brassicaceae.